GAUGAAGAACGUAGCGAAAUGCGAUACUUGUUGUGAAUUGCAGAAUCCCGUGAACCAUCGAGUCUUUGAACGCAAGUUGCGCCCGAAGCCAUUAGGCCGAGGGCACGCCUGCCUGGGCGUCACACGUCGUUGCCCCCCCAUCUACUCCUUCGGGAUUGCGGGGGGCGGAUGAUGGCCUCCCGUGCGCCUCGCCGCGCGGUUGGCAUAAAUGCCAAGUCCUCGGCGACGCACGCCACGACAAUCGGUGGUUGCGAAACCUCGGUUGCCCGUCGUGUGCGGUCGUCGCGCAUCGAGGGCUCGAAAAAAUUGCCGGGUUCCGGCUCGGCUUUCAACGCGACCCCAGGUCAGGCGGGGUUACCCGCUGAAUUUAAGCAUAUCAAUAAGCGGAGGA
RNAcentral lists this unclassified non-coding RNA (391 nucleotides) under soil metagenome. Its description in RNAcentral is "partial contains 5.8S ribosomal RNA, internal transcribed spacer 2, and large subunit ribosomal RNA". The stretch from base 1 to 122 matches the Rfam family "5.8S ribosomal RNA", at positions 35 to 154 of the family's 154-position model. The record is from RNAcentral.